This 253-nucleotide ribosomal RNA is filed under the name uncultured bacterium. RNAcentral describes it as "partial 16S ribosomal RNA". It matches the Rfam family "Bacterial small subunit ribosomal RNA", at positions 524 to 776 of the family's 1533-position model. The record is from RNAcentral.
UACGUAGGGUGCGAGCGUUAAUCGGAAUUACUGGGCGUAAAGCGUGCGCAGGCGGCGCGUUAAGACAGGUGUGAAAGCCCCGAGCUUAACUUGGGAAUUGCGCUUGUGACUGGCGUGCUGGAGUGUGGCAGAGGGAGGUGGAAUUCCACGUGUAGCAGUGAAAUGCGUAGAGAUGUGGAGGAACACCGGUGGCGAAGGCGGCCAACUGGACCAUUACUGACGCUGAGGCGCGAAAGCGUGGGGAGCAAACAGG